CAAGUCGAACGAUGUAGCAAUACAUAGUUGGCGAACGGGAGAGGAACACGUGGGUAAUCUACUCUCGAGAGAAGAAUAACCAGUCGAAAGAUUGGCUAAUACUUCGUAAGACCACAGUAUCUAAUGAUACAGGGGUUAAAGUCGUAAGACGCUCGUGGAUGAGCCUGCGUCCGAUUAGCUAGUUGGUGAGGUAACGGCUCACCAAGGCUUCGAUCGGUAGCUGGUCUGAGAGGAUGACCAGCCUCACUGGAACUGACACACGGUCCAGACUCCUACGGGAGGCAGCAGUAGGGAAUAUUGCACAAUGGAGGAAACUCUGAUGCAGCGACGCCGCGUGGGUGAUGACGGUCUUCGGAUUGUAAAGCCCUUUUGUUAGGGAAUAAAUAAAUGAAUGUACCUGACGAAUAAGCACCGGCUAACUUCGUGCCAGCAGCCGCGGUAAUACGAGGGGUGCAAGCGUUGCUCGGAAUCAUUGGGCGUAAAGCGAGCGCGGAUGGUCUUGUAAGUCAGGAGUGAAAGCCCUGGGCUCAACCCAGGAAGUGCUUUUGAUACUGCGAGACUUGAAUGUGGGAGAGGGUGCUAGAAUACCUAGUGUAGUGGUGAAAUACGUAGAUAUUAGGUGGAACACCGGUGGGGAAGCCGGGUGCCUGGCCCAACAUUGACAUUUAGGCUCGAAAGCGUGGGGAUCAAACAGGAUUAGAUACCCUGGUAGUCCACGCCUUAAACUAUGAAUACUUGGUGUUGGAGGUAUUGACCCCUUCAGUGCCGAAGCUA
RNAcentral lists this ribosomal RNA (774 nucleotides) under uncultured Pseudomonadota bacterium. RNAcentral's name for it is "bacterial SSU rRNA". It matches the Rfam family "Bacterial small subunit ribosomal RNA", at positions 58 to 854 of the family's 1533-position model. The record is from RNAcentral. Lineage: Bacteria; Pseudomonadati; Pseudomonadota.